CAAGGAUUCCCCUAGUAACUGCGAGUGAAGCGGGAAAAGCUCAAAUUUAAAAUCUGGCGGUCUUUGGCCGUCCGAGUUGUAAUUUAGAGAAGCGUCUUCCGCGCCGGACCGUGCACAAGUCUCCUGGAAUGGAGCGUCAUAGAGGGUGAGAAUCCCGUCUUUGGCACGGAUGCCUGGUGCUCUGUGAUGCGCUCUCGAAGAGUCGAGUUGUUUGGGAAUGCAGCUCAAAAUGGGUGGUGAACUCCAUCUAAAGCUAAAUAUUGGCGAGAGACCGAUAGCGAACAAGUACCGUGAGGGAAAGAUGAAAAGCACUUUGGAAAGAGAGUGAAACAGUACGUGAAAUUGUUGAAAGGGAAACGCUUGAAGUCAGUCGCGUCGACCGAGACUCAGCCUUGCCUCGGCUUGGUGUACUUCUCGGCCCGACGGGUCAGCGUCAAUUUUGCCCCUCGGAUAAUGGCAAGGGAAAGGUGGCACCUUUACGGGUGUGUUAUAGUCUCCUGUCGCAUGCGAGGGGUGGGAUUGAGGAACUCAGCGCGCACCUUUGGUGUCGGGGCUUCGGCCCACGU
RNAcentral lists this ribosomal RNA (566 nucleotides) under uncultured Lactarius. RNAcentral describes it as "eukaryotic LSU rRNA". It matches the Rfam family "Eukaryotic large subunit ribosomal RNA", at positions 69 to 608 of the family's 3401-position model. The record is from RNAcentral. Lineage: Eukaryota; Fungi; Basidiomycota; Agaricomycetes; Russulales; Russulaceae.